This 505-nucleotide ribosomal RNA is filed under the name uncultured bacterium. RNAcentral's name for it is "partial 16S ribosomal RNA". It matches the Rfam family "Bacterial small subunit ribosomal RNA", at positions 28 to 507 of the family's 1533-position model. The record is from RNAcentral.
GACGAACGCUGGCGGCGUGCCUAAUACAUGCAAGUAGAACGCACAGUUUAUACCGUAGCUUGCUACACCAUAGACUGUGAGUUGCGAACGGGUGAGUAACGCGUAGGUAACCUGCCUGGUAGCGGGGGAUAACUAUUGGAAACGAUAGCUAAUACCGCAUAAUAUUGAUUAUUGCAUGAUAAUUGAUUGAAAGAUGCUAUUGCAUCACUACCAGAUGGACCUGCGUUGUAUUAGCUAGUAGGUGAGGUAACGGCUCACCUAGGCGACGAUACAUAGCCGACCUGAGAGGGUGAUCGGCCACACUGGGACUGAGACACGGCCCAGACUCCUACGGGAGGCAGCAGUAGGGAAUCUUCGGCAAUGGACGAAAGUCUGACCGAGCAACGCCGCGUGAGUGAAGAAGGUUUUCGGAUCGUAAAGCUCUGUUGUAAGAGAAGAGCGGGUGUGAGAGUGGAAAGUUCACACUGUGACGGUAUCUUACCAGAAAGGGACGGCUAACUACGUG